Molecule: transfer RNA, 106 nt
Filed under: Granulicella aggregans
Lineage: Bacteria; Pseudomonadati; Acidobacteriota; Terriglobia; Terriglobales; Acidobacteriaceae
Description: tRNA-Cys
Source: RNAcentral
GUGCGGCAAAAUAAUGAUACUUACAAGAAUCUACAAGCCCCAAUAAAGUCGCCCGGCAGGUCUGCAAAACCUUUAUGCGUCGGUUCGAUCCCGACCCGCGCCUCCA